Long non-coding RNA from Hippoglossus stenolepis (Pacific halibut), 278 nucleotides. RefSeq lists it as uncharacterized. The transcript has 3 exons. Lineage: Eukaryota; Metazoa; Chordata; Actinopteri; Pleuronectiformes; Pleuronectidae. The record is from RefSeq and is a predicted model, not a curated record.
GCAGAGAGCUCGCAUCCGCGCCUUCUGCGUCCCCGCCGCCGGCAGCACCUCCCGAUCCUGCCCCGGAGGAGUCGCCCCCCUUCAGUGAAUCCUCCGGUAGUCCCGCUUCGCGACGCAGAAUUUCGACCGACUCGGAAAUCUUCUCUGAGGACAUUCGGGACAAUUGACUGGCUGAUAAGGAUCUCUUCCCUGCACACGGAGAGCUUUGACCCAAAAUAGAGGAUGGGGGUGGACAGAGGUUUUUCUUUGUUGCCACCAUUUGAUGUCACCAGGAGGGG